RNAcentral lists this ribosomal RNA (373 nucleotides) under uncultured bacterium. RNAcentral's name for it is "bacterial SSU rRNA". It matches the Rfam family "Bacterial small subunit ribosomal RNA", at positions 527 to 896 of the family's 1533-position model. The record is from RNAcentral.
GUAGGGGGCGAGCGUUGUCCGGAUUUAUUGGGCGUAAAGAGCUCGUAGGUGGUUCGGUAAGUCGGAUGUGAAAUCUCCAGGCUCAACCUGGAGGGGUCAUUCGAUACUGCCGUGACUAGAGUUCGGUAGGGGAGUGUGGAAUUCCUGGUGGAGCGGUGAAAUGCGCAGAUAUCAGGAGGAACACCCGUAGCGAAGGCGGCACUCUGGGCCGAUACUGACACUGAGGAGCGAAAGCGUGGGGAGCGAACAGGAUUAGAUACCCUGGUAGUCCACGCCGUAAACGUUGGGCACUAGGUGUGGGACUCUAUCGACGGGUUCCGUGCCGUAGCUAACGCAUUAAGUGCCCCGCCUGGGGAGUACGGCCGCAAGGCUA